This 253-nucleotide ribosomal RNA is filed under the name uncultured bacterium. Its description in RNAcentral is "partial 16S ribosomal RNA". It matches the Rfam family "Bacterial small subunit ribosomal RNA", at positions 524 to 776 of the family's 1533-position model. The record is from RNAcentral.
UACGGAGGGUGCAAACGUUGCUCGGAAUCAUUGGGCGUAAAGCGCACGUAGGUGGCCUGUUAAGUCGGGUGUGAAAUCCCUGGGCUCAACCCAGGAAGUGCACUCGAAACUGGCAGGCUUGAGUACUGAAGAGGGUCGCGGAAUUCCCGGUGUAGAGGUGAAAUUCGUAGAUAUCGGGAGGAACACCAGUGGCGAAGGCGGCGCAUUGGACCACAACUGACGCUGAGGCGCGAAAGCUAGGGGAGCAAACAGG